AUGAAUGCCACAGAAUGGUGGUUCAAUUAUGGCUCACAAAGUCCAACUUUAAGUGAGGUGGCAAAGAAAGUCUUGUCUCAGCCAAUAAGCAGCUCCUCUGCCGAAAGAAAUUGGAGUACCUACUCAUUCAUACAUAAUUUAAAGAGAAACAAGCUGAAUGCAACGACAGCCGAUAAGCUUGUCUUUAUUCAUGCAAACGAGCGUCUGAAGAGGAGGUUUUCAGAGGGCUACAAUUCAGGUCCACAUUAUAAGUGGGAUGUUGAGCCUGAGAAUGAUUUGCUGGAGGAUUCAAGCUUGAAGCUUGAGCAGCUGCGUUGGGAUAGCUUGGAGGAUGAAGCAGCUGAUACUGAACCACCACGCAAAAUUCAGAGGACUUGA
RNAcentral lists this ribosomal RNA (378 nucleotides) under Triticum aestivum (bread wheat). Its description in RNAcentral is "partial small subunit ribosomal RNA". Lineage: Eukaryota; Viridiplantae; Streptophyta; Magnoliopsida; Poales; Poaceae. The record is from RNAcentral.